CUUGGUCAUUUAGAGGAAGUAAAAGUCGUAACAAGGUUUCCGUAGGUGAACCUGCGGAAGGAUCAUUAAUGAAUUUAGAUUGAACCAUAGGCGAAAGCCAGUGGUUCUUCUUUCAUAUCCAUAACACCUGUGCACUGUUGGAUGCUUGCAUCCACUUUUAAACUAAACAUUAUUGUAACAAAUGUAGUCUUAUUAUAACAUAAUAAAACUUUCAACAACGGAUCUCUUGGCUCUCGCAUCGAUGAAGAACGCAGCGAAAUGCGAUAAGUAAUGUGAAUUGCAGAAUUCAGUGAAUCAUCGAAUCUUUGAACGCACCUUGCGCUCCUUGGUAUUCCGAGGAGCAUGCCUGUUUGAGUGUCAUGAAACCCUCAAACCCAAGUUUUGGAUUUCGAUCCAUGCUUGAGUUUGGAUUUGGAUGUUUGCCGGUGAUGAACCGACUCAUCUUAAAAGUAUUAGCUUGGAUCUGUCUAUAUGACUGGUUUGACUUGGCAUAAUAAGUAUUUUGCUGAGGACAUCUUCGGAUGGCCAGGACCUAGACUACUGUCUGCUAACUAAACCAUCACUUUAAGUGCAUCUUUGGAUGUUACUCAUUGUGUAACUUUGACAUCUGGCCUCAAAUCAAGUAGGACUACCCGCUGAACUUAAGCAUAUCAAUAAGCGGAGGA
Molecule: ribosomal RNA, 665 nt
Filed under: uncultured fungus
Lineage: Eukaryota; Fungi
Description: eukaryotic LSU rRNA
Rfam family: 5.8S ribosomal RNA (bases 207-360)
Source: RNAcentral